Molecule: unclassified non-coding RNA, 265 nt
Filed under: Hevea brasiliensis (rubber tree)
Lineage: Eukaryota; Viridiplantae; Streptophyta; Magnoliopsida; Malpighiales; Euphorbiaceae
Source: RNAcentral
UGACAUAGACCCACAAUGCACACAUUUUAAUUAUCUAGAUUCCAUCAUAUAAAGAGAGAGAAAGCAAAGAGGCUGUCAACCAUAGGAUUAACUUCAAGAGAUGAUAGAUUGAGACAGUUAGGCAAAGUGUAUUGUAGACUAGCAAAUGCAGCAGUAUGGAAGAUUUGAGCACAUUGGUGGAAGAUAAAAAAAAUGGGAAGGCAGACCUAAGAUGGUGUGAAGAGAAGUAGUGUGAAACGAGUAAGUGGUUCUAGAUCCUUCUAGA